RNAcentral lists this unclassified non-coding RNA (328 nucleotides) under soil metagenome. Its description in RNAcentral is "partial contains 5.8S ribosomal RNA, internal transcribed spacer 2, and large subunit ribosomal RNA". The stretch from base 1 to 120 matches the Rfam family "5.8S ribosomal RNA", at positions 35 to 154 of the family's 154-position model. The record is from RNAcentral.
GAUGAAGAACGUAGCGAAAUGCGAUAAGUAAUGUGAAUUGCAGAAUUCAGUGAAUCAUCGAAUCUUUGAACGCACAUUGCGCCCCUUGGUAUUCCGAGGGGCAUGCCUGUUCGAGCGUCAUUAUAACCCCUCAAGCUCAGCUUGGUAUUGGGGCCUGCCAUCCUGGCAGCCCUUAAAAUCAGUGGCGGUGCCAUCCGGCUCUAAGCGUAGUAACUCCUCUCGCUAUGGAGUCCUGGUGGAUGCUUGCUAUUAAUCUUUUAACUUCUAUGGUUGACCUCGGAUCAGGUAGGGAUACCCGCUGAACUUAAGCAUAUCAAUAAGCGGAGGA